UCCGGUAGGCGGUGCGGCAAGUCGAUAGGUGAAAUCCCUGGGCUUAACCCAGGGGCUGCUAACGAAACUGCCGUGCUCGAGUGUGAGAGAGGCGAGUGGAAUUACGGGUGUAGCGGUGAAAUGCGUAGAUAUCCGUAGGAACAUCCGAGGCGAAAGCGGCUCGCUGGAUCACAACUGACGCUGAGGGACGAAAGCUAGGGGAGCAAACAGGAUUAGAUACCCUGGUAGUCCUAGCCCUAAACCAUCAGGACUUGGGGUUUGCCCUGUACGGGGCAAGUCCCGUAGCUAACGCGUUAAGUCCUGCGCCUGGGGAGUACGGUCGCAAGGCUGAA
RNAcentral lists this ribosomal RNA (332 nucleotides) under uncultured bacterium. Its description in RNAcentral is "bacterial SSU rRNA". It matches the Rfam family "Bacterial small subunit ribosomal RNA", at positions 568 to 898 of the family's 1533-position model. The record is from RNAcentral.